Molecule: long non-coding RNA, 1386 nt
Organism: Scomber japonicus (chub mackerel)
Lineage: Eukaryota; Metazoa; Chordata; Actinopteri; Scombriformes; Scombridae
Exons: 3
Source: RefSeq, a predicted model, not a curated record
AGAAAGAGAGACAAAGGAGAGAGAAGAAGCAGAGAAGAAAGAGAGAGAAAGGUUGGAGAAGGAUAUGCAGGAACAAGAGAUGUUGAAAAAGGAAAAAGAGGAGAUGGAGAGGAAGGAAAGAGAAAGGUUGGAGAAGGAAAAGGAGGAACACGAGAGGUUGAAAAAGGAGAAAGAGGAGAUGGAGAGGAAGGAGAGAGAAAGGGCAGAGAAGAAAGAGAGGGAUAGGUUGGAGAAGGAAAAGCAGGAACAAGAGAGGUUGAAAAAGGAAAAAGAGGAAAUGGAGAGGAAGGAGAGAGAAAGGGCAGAGAAGAAAGAGAAGGAAAGGUUGGAGAAGGAAAAGCAGGAACAAGAGAGGUUGAAAAAGGAGAAAGAGGAAAUGGAGAGGAAGGAGAGAGAAAGGGCAGAGAAGAAAGAGAAGGAAAGGGAGGAACAAGAGAGGUUGAAAAAGGAAAAAGAGGAGAAAGAAAGGGCAGAGAAAAAAGAGAGGGAUAGGUUGGAGAAGGAAAAGCAGGAACAAGAGAGGUUGAAAAAGGAGAAAGAGGAGAUGGAGAGGAAGGAGAGAGAAAGGUAGGAGAUGGAGAGUAAGGAGAGAGAAAGGUUGGAGAAGAAAAAGCAGGAACAAGAGAGGUUGAAAAAGGAGAAAGAGGAAAUGGAGAGGAAGGAGAGAGAAAGGGCAGAGAAGAAAGAGAAGGAAAGGUUGGAGAAGGAAAGGGAGGAACAAGAGAGGUUGAAAAAGGAAAAAGAGGAGAUGGAGAGGAAGGAGAGAGAAAGGUUGGAGAAGGAAAAGCAGGAACAAGAGAGGUUGAAAAAGGAAAAAGAGGAGAUGGAGAGGAAGGAGAGAGAAAGGUUGGAGAAGGAAAAGGAGGAACGCGAGAGGUUGAAAAAGGAGAAAGAGGAAAUGGAGAGGAAGGAGAGAGAAAGGGCAGAGAAGAAAGAGAAGGAAAGGUUGGAGAAGGAAAGGGAGGAACAAGAGAGGUUGAAAAAGGAAAAAGAAGAGAAAGAAAGGGCAGAGAAAAAAGAGAGGGAUAGGUUGGAGAAGGAAAAGCAGGAACAAGAGAGGUUGAAAAAGGAGAAAGAGGAGAUGGAGAGGAAGGAGAGAGAAAGGGCAGAGAAGAAAGAGAAGGAAAGGUUGGAGAAGGAAAGGGAGGAACAAGAGAGGUUGAAAAAGGAAAAAGAGGAGAAAGAAAGGGCAGAGAAAAAAGAGAGGGAAAGGUUGGAGAAGGAAAAGCAGGAACGAGAGAGGUUAAAAAAGGAGAAAGAGGAGAUGGAGAGGAAGGAGAGGGAAAGGUUGGAGAAGGAAAAGGAGGAACAAGAGAGGUUGAAAAAGGAAAAAGAGGAGAUGGAGAGGAAGGAGAGAGAAAAGGCAGAGAAGAAAGAGAAGGAAAG